AACUAAAUAGUUUAAUAUAAAAUUUAUGGUUUGCAUUCAUAAGAUAGAUUUUUCUUUUAGUUG
RNAcentral lists this transfer RNA (63 nucleotides) under Brachionus rotundiformis. Its description in RNAcentral is "tRNA-Ala". Lineage: Eukaryota; Metazoa; Rotifera; Eurotatoria; Ploima; Brachionidae. The record is from RNAcentral.